Long non-coding RNA from Mastomys coucha (southern multimammate mouse), 953 nucleotides. RefSeq lists it as uncharacterized. The transcript has 2 exons. The record is from RefSeq and is a predicted model, not a curated record. Lineage: Eukaryota; Metazoa; Chordata; Mammalia; Rodentia; Muridae.
GAAAGGCGCCAGCUUCUAGGAAUGGAGGCUGCAGCACGCCUAGAGGCAACCCCAUAACCUCCGAUAGAUACUACCCCAGAGCAGGCAGCAGUUGCCGAGGCUGAUCUCUGUAAACCCUUCUUUUGCGUAUGAGAAUGGUGAUUUUCACCUCUCAUAUCUCUCAAGGAACAGGCCCAGACAGAAAUAUGAAAGUACCUUCAAGCUUUUUCUGUGAAGUUUUAAAGCCUCCUCAUUCUUGCGCUUGGAGAAAGGAAAGGCCAGCAGCUUGAAACCCUGGGCACUGCAAACAGACUUGGCCAUCAUUGCACAGUCAGCAAGAAGCCCGCAGAGCACCACCGAGGAUAAGCCCUUGCCAACUCAGCUGAACACAAGCCAACGUGACAAGACCACCUGCCAAUCAAGGCCACCAAGGAAGCCAGCGCCUUACUGAUGAUUAGAGGAGCCAAGACUCUCAUAGGAACACACUGGAUCUGGGCCCGGGAGAAUUUCUCCAGAAAGUUGAAUCUAAAUUCUCUUUGUUCACUUGGUUUGUAUAUGUAUUUCAUUUUUGCCAAAACAUGUAUUGUUCCUUUAGGAUUUAAAAACCAUUAAUUCCCCUCUGAAACUGAAAGCACCUUUGCUAUCCAGUGAAAAGGAGCUGGAAGGACUUGUACUUGGCUGCAGGAAUACAGAGAACCUGGUUUUCAAGUCAUACGCCUCUGUAGUGUCACUUCUGAAGUAAAGAUUCAGAGAGUCAGGCAACUUGCCUGUGUCUCUGCCACAGCCUAGUAUAGUUAGGGGACUGCAUUUACACAAGGAUGCUAAACAAAAAAGUCAAUAUACUAAAGAUGAAGGGUAAUAGAUUAAUGUUUUUUAAAAGAUAUAAAUAUGAAGGCCAGAGUGACUUCUCUGUGUUUUUAAACAGAAUUGAAAGUAGUGAUACAGUUCAUAAUUUUCAGUAAAGACAGUUAAAU